AUGGCAUCGGGGACAUCUCUUCUCCUCUGGUUGCUCCUCUUGUUGCCGUCGUUUGCCAUUUCCUCAGCAUCGAGCCGUGGCAUCCGUCUUGAGCUAACGCACGCAGACACCCGCGGUGACUUCACGGGGAUCGAGCGCAUCCGUCGCGCUGCCGAACGGAGCCACCGCCGAGUCAACGGCCUCCUCGCCGCUGCCCCUCCAUCCCCUGCAUCGCUGCAGAGCGGCGGUGCUGAUGAAACGGCGGCCGUUCACGCGAGCGCGGCAACGUACCUCGUCGACCUCGCCAUCGGCACGCCGCCGCUAGCGAUCACCGCGGUCCUCGACACGGGCAGCGACCUCAUCUGGACGCAGUGCGACGCGCCCUGCCGGAAGUGCUUCCCGCAGCCCACGCCGCUGUACGCGCCGGCCAGGUCGGCGACAUACGCCAACGUGUCGUGCCGCUCAUCGCUGUGCGAGGCGCUCCGAGACCCGAGGUACCAUUGCUCGGCCCCCGAUCCCGGCUGUCCGUACUAUUUCUCCUACGGCGACGGCACCUCUACAGACGGCGCCCUCGCCACCGAGACGUUGACGCUCGGCUCAGGCACUGCCGUGCACGGCAUCGCGUUCGGCUGCGGCACGGAGAACCUUGGCAGCACGGACAACUCGUCCGGUCUGGUCGGGAUGGGAAGGGGGCCACUUUCGCUCGUGUCCCAGCUGGGCAUCACCAGGUUCUCCUACUGCUUCACGCCCUUCAGCGACAAGGCGGCGAGCCCUCUCUUCUUAGGCCCGUCGGCGACCCUCUCGACCACCGCCCAGUCCACGCCGUUCGCGCCGAACCCAGCCGGCGGGCGCAGGAGCUCAUAUUACUACCUCACGCUGGAAGGGAUCACCGUCGGCAAGACCCUGCUGCCGAUCGACCCCGCCGUGUUCCAGCUGUCGCCCAUGGGCGGCGGCGGGUUCAUCAUCGAUUCCGGCACGACGUUCACCGCGCUGGAGGAGCGCGCGUUCGUGGUGCUGGCCCGCGCGGUCGCGGCGCGCGUUGGGCUCCCGCUGGCCAGCGGCGCGCACCUCGGCCUCAGCCUCUGCUUCGCUGCACCGGAGGGGAAGACCGAGGCGGUGGACGUGCCGCGCCUGGUGUUCCACUUCGACGGCGCGGACAUGGCGCUUCCCAGGGAGAGCUACGUUGUGGAGGACCGGAACGCUGGGGUGGCCUGCCUCGGGAUGGUGAGCAUGCGGGGGAUGUCGGUGCUCGGCAGCAUGCAGCAGCAGAGCAUGCACUUUCUGUAUGAUCUUGAGGGGGGCGUGCUGUCGUUCGAGCCAGCUGAAUGCGACGAGCUCUAG
This 1320-nucleotide ribosomal RNA is filed under the name Triticum aestivum (bread wheat). Its description in RNAcentral is "partial small subunit ribosomal RNA". Lineage: Eukaryota; Viridiplantae; Streptophyta; Magnoliopsida; Poales; Poaceae. The record is from RNAcentral.